Molecule: unclassified non-coding RNA, 306 nt
Filed under: plant metagenome
Description: partial contains 5.8S ribosomal RNA, internal transcribed spacer 2, and large subunit ribosomal RNA
Rfam family: 5.8S ribosomal RNA (bases 1-105)
Source: RNAcentral
GAAAUGCGAUAAGUAAUGUAAAUUGCAGAAUUCAGUGAAUCAUCGAAUCUUUGAACGCACAUUGCGCCCGCCAGUAUUCUGGCGGGCAUGCCUGUCCGAGCGUCAUUUCAACCAUCAAGCCCCCGGGCUUGUGUUGGGGACCUGCGGCUGCCCGCAGGCCCUGAAAACCAGUGGCGGGCUCGCUGUCACACCGAGCGUAGUAGCAAUCACCUCGCUCAGGGCGUGCUGCGGGUUCCGGCCGUUAAACAGCCUUACAAAACCCAAGGUUGACCUCGGAUCAGGUAGGAAGACCCGCUGAACUUAAGC